UUACGGUCAAAUCACGCUGAAUCACCGGUUCUCGUUCGAUCACCGAAGUUAAGCAUCGUAGAGCCAGGUCAGUACUUAGAUGGGGGACCGCUUGGGAACACCUGGUACUGUAAG
Molecule: ribosomal RNA, 114 nt
Filed under: Acanthosepion pharaonis
Lineage: Eukaryota; Metazoa; Mollusca; Cephalopoda; Sepiida; Sepiidae
Source: RNAcentral